Molecule: ribosomal RNA, 400 nt
Filed under: uncultured Sinobacteraceae bacterium
Lineage: Bacteria; Pseudomonadati; Pseudomonadota; Gammaproteobacteria; Nevskiales; Nevskiaceae
Description: bacterial SSU rRNA
Rfam family: Bacterial small subunit ribosomal RNA
Source: RNAcentral
CUGGCCUUGACAUCUGUCGAAUCCUGCAGAGAUGCAGGAGUGCCUUCGGGAACGACAAGACAGGUGCUGCAUGGCUGUCGUCAGCUCGUGUCGUGAGAUGUUGGGUUAAGUCCCGCAACGAGCGCAACCCUUGUCCUUAGUUGCCAUCAUUCAGUUGGGAACUCUAAGGAGACCGCCGGUGACAAACCGGAGGAAGGUGGGGAUGACGUCAAGUCAUCAUGGCCUUUAUGGCCAGGGCUACACACGUGCUACAAUGGCAGGUACAGAGGGAAGCCAACGCGCGAGCGGGAGCCAAUCCCAGAAAGCCUGUCGUAGUCCGGAUCGGAGUCUGCAACUCGACUCCGUGAAGUCGGAAUCGCUAGUAAUCGCAGAUCAGCAUUGCUGCGGUGAAUACGUUCCC